This 496-nucleotide ribosomal RNA is filed under the name uncultured bacterium. RNAcentral's name for it is "partial 16S ribosomal RNA". It matches the Rfam family "Bacterial small subunit ribosomal RNA", at positions 28 to 506 of the family's 1533-position model. The record is from RNAcentral.
GAUGAACGCUGGCGGCGUGCCUAAUACAUGCAAGUCGAGCGAACAGACGAGGAGCUUGCUCCUCUGACGUUAGCGGCGGACGGGUGAGUAACACGUGGAUAACCUACCUAUAAGACUGGGAUAACUUCGGGAAACCGGAGCUAAUACCGGAUAACAUGUUGAACCGCAUGGUUCAACAGUGAAAGACGGUUUUGCUGUCACUUAUAGAUGGAUCCGCGUCGCAUUAGCUAGUUGGUAAGGUAACGGCUUACCAAGGCAACGAUGCGUAGCCGACCUGAGAGGGUGAUCGGCCACACUGGAACUGAGACACGGUCCAGUCUCCUACGGGAGGCAGCAGUAGGGAAUCUUCCGCAAUGGGCGAAAGCCUGACGGAGCAACGCCGCGUGAGUGAAGAAGGUCUUCGGAUCGUAAAACUCUGUUAUUAGGGAAGAACAAAUGUGUAAGUAACUAUGCACGUCUUGACGGUACCUAAGCAGAAAGCCACGGCUAACUACGU